GGGCAGCAGCCAUUUGUCCUCAUUCAUCAAAAAUUUCAGCCACGUUUCACUCCACCAUUCACCACAUCCUAAGCCAAUCAUCUUACAUGCAAAUUUUUCUUUCCACAAUAAACUUGCCAAAACUCAAGAUCAUUCACAGAAAACUCAAAUAUCAUCAGCUUUCUUUCCUCUCCAAAAAUUCAAUCGAAACACAAGAAACCUCUUUGAACAAUAUCUACCUCAAAUCAACUCAGCCAUACACCAAACAUAUCAAAGAACACAGUCUGUCCACUUAUUAGAAGGUUUUAGCACUGGUUUUACAAGAAGAGAAUUGUGCAAAAUUUAUCUACAGGCUUGUCCUAUCAAGGUUGAGCGGCAGGUGGUGUCGUGCGAGGCUGAGGGAGGAUGUUGCUGUAGUUUCAUAUAAUAAUUUCCGCUGCCAUAAUAUUCACUUAGGUGGAUAUCUUUUGAGAAUGACUCUUUAAAUAUUCUUAGCCUAAUUAUUAUGAACUCUUUUGGCAAUCGCAUUUCUAGCAAUUGAACCUCGCAUAUAUGUAUGUCUAGUAUGAAGUGUUAUCUUGUUGUCUCAGACCUCCGAACUUUUGAUCCUGGUUGGGAAAAUUUCUAUCUUAAUUGUUGUAUUUAUUA
Long non-coding RNA from Salvia miltiorrhiza (redroot sage), 627 nucleotides. RefSeq lists it as uncharacterized. The transcript has 3 exons. NCBI's taxonomy places the organism in Eukaryota, Viridiplantae, Streptophyta, Magnoliopsida, Lamiales, Lamiaceae. The record is from RefSeq and is a predicted model, not a curated record.